Molecule: ribosomal RNA, 249 nt
Filed under: uncultured bacterium
Lineage: Bacteria
Description: partial 16S ribosomal RNA
Rfam family: Bacterial small subunit ribosomal RNA
Source: RNAcentral
GAGUUUGAUCGUGGCUCAGGAUGAACGCUGGCGGCGUGCCUAACACAUGCAAGUCGAACGAAGCGGUUUUGCGGAAGUUUUCGGAUGGAAGCGGAAUUGACUGAGUGGCGGACGGGUGAGUAACGCGUGGAUAACCUGCCUCAUACAGGGGGAUAACAGUUAGAAAUGACUGCUAAUACCGCAUAAGCGCACGGGAACGCAUGUUUCUGUGUGAAAAGCCGAGACGGUAUGAGAUGGAUCCGCGUCUGA